RNAcentral lists this non-coding RNA (46 nucleotides) under Trichobilharzia regenti. The record is from RNAcentral. Lineage: Eukaryota; Metazoa; Platyhelminthes; Trematoda; Strigeidida; Schistosomatidae.
AUCCAGUUGACGAGUGCCAGCAUAGGACGAAACAUCUACCCUGGAU